CCCUUAGAUGUUCUGGGCCGCACGCGCGCUACACUGACGAAUGCAACGAGCUUAUAACCUUGGCCGAAAGGUCUGGGUAAUCUCCAAAUUUCGUCGUGAUGGGGAUAGAUUAUUGCAAUUAUUAAUCUUCAACGAGGAAUGCCUAGUAAGCGCAAGUCAUCAGCUUGCGUUGAUUACGUCCCUGCCCUUUGUACACACCGCCCGUCGCACCUACCGAUUGAAUGGUCCGGUGAAAUCUCGGGACGGCGGCUUGGUCGCUUGCGUCCGACCGCUGAAACUUGAUUAAACCAUAUCAUUUAGAGGAAGGUGAAGUCGUAACA
Molecule: ribosomal RNA, 320 nt
Filed under: uncultured eukaryote
Lineage: Eukaryota
Description: partial 18S ribosomal RNA
Rfam family: Eukaryotic small subunit ribosomal RNA
Source: RNAcentral